RNAcentral lists this non-coding RNA (235 nucleotides) under Dethiobacter alkaliphilus. RNAcentral's name for it is "T-box sequence". It matches the Rfam family "T-box leader". Rfam says of the family: Uncharged tRNA acts as the effector for transcription antitermination of genes in the T-box leader family. The record is from RNAcentral. Lineage: Bacteria; Bacillati; Bacillota; Dethiobacteria; Dethiobacterales; Dethiobacteraceae.
AGUAAGGCUGUGACGGGGAGAGUAGGUUUACCGGAAGUAAAGCGAGCCGGGGUUGGUGUGAGCCCGGUACGAAAGGUAUUCUGAAGCGCACCCCUGAGCUGCGUGCCCAACGGCAUUUGCCCAGUAGGCCACGCCGGGUCUGCCCGUUAUCGCAAACCGUUUAUGAAGUUAUAGACGGGUUAAGUGGGCUUAUGGCCAAUAAAGGUGGUACCGCGAGAUGCCUCUCGUCCUUUGG